UGGCUCAGUCAGUAGAGCAUAUGACUCUCAAUCUCAGGGUUGUGAGUUCAAGUCUCAC
Molecule: transfer RNA, 58 nt
Filed under: Mustela putorius furo (domestic ferret)
Lineage: Eukaryota; Metazoa; Chordata; Mammalia; Carnivora; Mustelidae
Also listed under: 1 other name
Rfam family: tRNA
About the family: Transfer RNA (tRNA) molecules are approximately 80 nucleotides in length. Their secondary structure includes four short double-helical elements and three loops (D, anti-codon, and T loops). Further hydrogen bonds mediate the characteristic L-shaped molecular structure. tRNAs have two regions of fundamental functional importance: the anti-codon, which is responsible for specific mRNA codon recognition, and the 3' end, to which the tRNAs corresponding amino acid is attached (by aminoacyl-tRNA synthetases). tRNAs cope with the degeneracy of the genetic code in two manners: having more than one tRNA (with a specific anti-codon) for a particular amino acid; and 'wobble' base-pairing, i.e. permitting non-standard base-pairing at the 3rd anti-codon position.
Source: Rfam by way of RNAcentral